GUCCAUGUGCCCUGCUCCUUCUGCUACCCCCAAGACAGCUGGACUGACUCUGACCCACUUCACAGCUAUUGGUUAGGGGAAGUGGCCCUUCCAGCCUCAGAUGCUCCAGUGGCCACAAACAACCCAGAUAGAAAAGUGCAGGAGGAGACCCAGGGACAGUUGCAACUUUCCAGGGACCGACAGAUCAAUGACUGCUCCCUGAGGGGUCAUACUUCUUUCACAUGGAGGGAGGGAAUAUGAAAUGGAGAUACAAAAUUAACCAGUUGUCCAUGCAUGUGAUGCGUCCAACCCACAGGCCCGACAUCUUCAUCCCAAUAACCCUGGAGUCGGCUGCCCCAGCAAUCUAACCUGCUCUGUGCCUUGGGCCUGUGAGCAGGGGAUGCCUCCGACAAUCACCUGGAUGGGG
RNAcentral lists this long non-coding RNA (406 nucleotides) under Homo sapiens (human). RNAcentral's name for it is "non-protein coding lnc-CEACAM18-3:2". Lineage: Eukaryota; Metazoa; Chordata; Mammalia; Primates; Hominidae. The record is from RNAcentral.